AUUUAUAUAGUUUAACUUAAAACACUUCAUUUUCAAUGAAGAAAUGAGAAUUUACUCUAUAAAUAUA
Molecule: transfer RNA, 67 nt
Filed under: Anoplocnemis curvipes
Lineage: Eukaryota; Metazoa; Arthropoda; Insecta; Hemiptera; Coreidae
Description: tRNA-Glu
Rfam family: tRNA
About the family: Transfer RNA (tRNA) molecules are approximately 80 nucleotides in length. Their secondary structure includes four short double-helical elements and three loops (D, anti-codon, and T loops).
Source: RNAcentral